GGCUGAGGUUGAAAUUGUUGUUGCGAUGGUACCUGUGGUUGGGUUUGUGAUUGUAACUGCACUUGGGGUGCAGGUUGAGCCCAUGGCACAACGUAACUGUUAUAAGGCACAUGACCCUGGCUGGCAGAAUGGUGAUGAUGAUAUCCCUGUGUAUUUGACGACGACACAGGGACCUGAUGUGUAUUUUGGCUUGAUGCAGGUGGAGUGAGAGGAGUAUGAGGAGAGGUUGAUGAUGUUGAUAAAGUGAUACUCAAGAGGUCAAUCAUAUCUUGCUCUUUUGAAGUCUUGACUGGUGCAGGAGGAUCUGGUAGAGCUAAUGCAGUGCAAGUAUUAGAGGAUGCUGGCAUGGAUGAUGUAACUGUAUUGCCUGUGCUCACCAAUGCCAAGUUCUCAACAGUUUCAGUGGAAGAGCUUUGACUAGGUACAGGCUGUGAUUUAGAGUGCCUUCGAGCUAGUUGUGCAAACUCAUCCUCCUCUUCAUCCUCCUCCACUAUCUGGUUCCUUGCUACGGAAGCAGUUGAUGAUGGAUUAUUCACAUUUGCUGGAGGACUAGAAUCUCUUAAGCUUGAACCUCUUAUUUCAUUGGCUAUCUGUGUGGCAGCAGAUGACUCCGGCAUCUGAGGGCUCAGAUUCGUUGAUUGAGUUGGCAACACAGAACCAGAAGCAAU
RNAcentral lists this unclassified non-coding RNA (668 nucleotides) under Hevea brasiliensis (rubber tree). Lineage: Eukaryota; Viridiplantae; Streptophyta; Magnoliopsida; Malpighiales; Euphorbiaceae. The record is from RNAcentral.